UAAGGAGAAGUUUUCUUCGGAAACGAGUAAACUGGCGAACGGGUGAGUAACGCGUAGGCAACCUACCCUUUAGACCGGGAUAACAUCGUGAAAAUGGUGCUAAUACUGGAUAAAAUCAUAUAUCAUCAGAUAUUAUGAUUAAAGGUGGCUUCGGCUAUUACUAUUGGAUGGGCCUGCGUCUGAUUAGCUUGUUGGUAAGGUAAUGGCUUACCAAGGCUACGAUCAGUAGCUGGUUCGAGAGGAUGAUCAGCCACACUGGGACUGAGAUACGGCCCAGACUCCUACGGGAGGCAGCAGUGGGGAAUUUUGCGCAAUGGGGGAAACCUUGACGCAGCAACGCCGCGUGAUCGAAGAAGCUUCUAGGAGUGUAAAGAUCUGUCAUAGGGGAAGAAUGAUUUUUGGUUUAACAUACUGAAGAUUUGACGGUACCCUAUAAGAAAGCCCCGGCUAACUUAGUGCCAGCAGCCGCGGUAAUACUAGGGGGGCAAGCGUUGUCCGGAUUCAUUGGGCGUAAAGAGUUCGUAGGCGGUCUAAACAGUCAAAAUUGAAAUACCACGGCUUAACCGUGGAACCGGUUUUGAUACUUUUAGACUUGAGUUAGGUAGAGGUAAGCGGAAUUCCUGGUGUAGCGGUGAAAUGCGUAGAUAUCAGGAGGAACACCAAAGGCGAAGGCAGCUUGCUGGGCCUUAACUGACGCUGAGGAACGAAAGCGUGGGGAGCGAACAGGAUUAGAGACCCUGGUAGUCCACGCCGUAAACGAUGAGUACUUGAUGGGUGGGGGAUUUCGACCCCUUCACUGUCGGAGCUAACGCGUUAAGUACUCCG
This 825-nucleotide ribosomal RNA is filed under the name Fidelibacterota bacterium SCGC AAA003-L08. RNAcentral's name for it is "SSU rRNA". It matches the Rfam family "Bacterial small subunit ribosomal RNA", at positions 64 to 871 of the family's 1533-position model. Lineage: Bacteria; Pseudomonadati; Fidelibacterota. The record is from RNAcentral.